GCAAAAUUCAGGUAAUAAUAAAUGCUAAAAAUGAAGAAGAACCCUGCCGAAAAACGACACCGCUUCACGUGCGAACCGGAGUUCAUCUUCUUCUCCACUCAAAUCGGAGCAGCAAGAAUCAGUGUCUGAAAAUCUCUUCAUAUUUUCUCUUUUUCCCGACCUUAUCAUUUGACGCGAAAACCAGCAACCAAAGCCCACGUUUCUCGGACCAAAUGGAAUUGCCCGAACCACCCAAUCCUCCAAACCCUAAUCCCCACGUUCCCGCCCCUCAAAACCUUGCAAUGCCCCAAUUCCACCACCACCACCGCCGUGCCCACUCCGAGGUCAAUUUCCGGAUGCCCGAUGACACCGAUCCCUUCGACAAUGCGCCUUCGGGGAGCUUCGAAGAUCUCGGAUCCGAGGACGACCUGCUGAGCACGUACAUGGACAUGGAGAAGAUCGGGGGGAAGCUCGACGACGGGCCCGGAUCCGACCCGAGGACGGACAAUGCCGAGGGCGACGGCGGCGGUGGCGGAGAGAAGGGCGCGAGGCCGAGGCAUCGGUAUAGCAAUUCCGCGGACGGGUCUUCGGUCUUGGAUGGCAUAGAGGCUAAGAAGGCCAUGGCUCCUGAUAAGCUGGCGGAGCUGUGGGCAGUUGAUCCCAAAAGAGCCAAGAGAAUUCUCGCAAAUCGGCAGUCUGCUGCUCGCUCAAAAGAGAGAAAAGCAAGGUAUAUCUCAGAACUCGAGAGAAAAGUCCAGACCCUUCAAACAGAAGCAACUACUCUUUCUGCUCAGCUCACACUUUUUCAGAGGGAUACAACAAAUUUGACUUCUGAAAAUGCAGAGCUUGAGCUUAGGUUACAGGCUAUGGAGCAACAAGCUCAGCUACGUGAUGCUCUAAAUGAAGCUCUGAAAAAGGAAAUAGAGAGGCUCAAAAUUGCCACCGGAGAAAUGAUGACAGCAGCCGAUACCUAUAAUUUGGAAAUGCACCAAUAUCCAUAUUCACAACCUUCCUUCUUCCCUCCUCAGCAACAACCCAGAUCAGUCGACUUACGAAACAUGCAAAUGCCUCAGUUCAACAUGUUUCAUAUGAACAUAGCAGCUUCGGGGCAAUCUCCAACCAUGCCUGCCCAUUCUCAUGGCUUCUCAGAGCUGUUGCAGCAGGACUCCCUCGGUCGAUUGGAGGGGCUUGAGAUUAGUAAUAGAGGGCCACAUCUUGUAAAGUCUGAAGGUUCUACCAUUUCAGCAAGUGAAAGCAGUAGCACAUAUUAGUGUAAAUUUAAAGCUGACACACUCUCUCUCUGUGUUGAGAAUAUCCCAGAGUUCUGUUGUUGGUUGUCUUGGUUGACCAAGAGGUGCCUUAUCGUCGUGGUGUGGCUUCAGCCAAAAGGAAGUUACAGUAUGCAUCAUCUGUGCCUCUCUUAGUCAAAAGACAUCAUGUUAUAUGCCUCUAAAUAUCAACGUUGAAGAACGGCCACAGCCGGUGAGCCACCAUCGCUCAACAGACCAUUAUUAAAGUUUGAUCAAACCAGUCAUCCUGUUUGCAUUACAGAAGCUAUGAGACAUUAUUGGAACCUCCACCGCAUGCCAGGAGGUUAUAAGAGAAGAAACCACCUUACACUUGCACUAAAUCAAGACUCGAGACCGCUGUAGCCAGUCAAAUUCAUCUAGUUUCUUGCACAAAAGCUGAGAGAGUACCGGAGCUAAUUUGCUUUUGCCCUGGCUAUGCUAGAAAGGUUUGUUCAUCAAUCAAUUCUAGGGAGGUUGGCUCUUUUAACUUAUGCAG
Molecule: RNA transcript, 1764 nt
Organism: Rhodamnia argentea
Lineage: Eukaryota; Viridiplantae; Streptophyta; Magnoliopsida; Myrtales; Myrtaceae
Gene name: transcription factor RF2b-like
Exons: 6
Source: RefSeq, a predicted model, not a curated record